RNAcentral lists this ribosomal RNA (225 nucleotides) under Diagramma pictum (painted sweetlips). RNAcentral describes it as "Diagramma picta (painted sweetlips) partial 16S ribosomal RNA". The record is from RNAcentral. Lineage: Eukaryota; Metazoa; Chordata; Actinopteri; Lutjaniformes; Haemulidae.
GUGCCCAACAGCUAGCCCAAUAAUUAAAAUCAACAAAUACCCAUUAAUAACCCCUAAAACACUACACCGCGCCAAACAAACCAUUUUUCCCCCUUAGUAUAGGCGAUAGAAAAGGAACUCCUGAGCAAUAGAAAAAGUACCGCAAGGGAAUGCUGAAAGAGAAAUGAAACAACCCAGUAAAGCUGAAAAAAGCAGAGAUUUUAACUCGUACCUUUUGCCAUCAUG